CUUGUCUUUGAAAUUAUGGGUAGUCAGAAAGCUUUACCAAGAACUCUUAUCUUCGAACUGCGGGAGCCCCCAGGGGGUCUAAAUUAAUUCCGUUAUAGUAGCAGUGGAAUAUACUUUACAAAAAGUCAAAAUUAUAUAAAGAACUCGACCUCCAGUUCCAGAGACAAUACGCUAACGUGCGCAUCUCACUCUCCGCGUCAAAUCCAUUAACGUCACCCGUAUCACUGCUUCUUUUACUCAGAGAAAAAGGCAUUGUGGAUAUCUGCGCCAGAGCUGACUGAUUGAGAGAAACAAUAUUGAGUGUUACUAACAUUGUUUUGCUAGUAAUUUGCUUGCGUUUAUAUUCGCUUUUUAAUUGGCGCUGAGAUUUU
Long non-coding RNA from Pistacia vera, 371 nucleotides. RefSeq lists it as uncharacterized. The record is from RefSeq and is a predicted model, not a curated record. The transcript is spliced from 3 exons. Lineage: Eukaryota; Viridiplantae; Streptophyta; Magnoliopsida; Sapindales; Anacardiaceae.